GGACCCGCGGCUCCUGUGGGCUGCCCGCUCCUGUCGGCCUUCGCUGGCAGCAGCGCGCCCACCCCGCAGUGAGCUGAACGGCAGCUUUGUUUUCUUUAACAAUAACCCAAGAGGAGGGCACAAUAGCAAAGUGAUUCCCUGGAGGGUUUGUAAUGCUUCCAGAAAUCAGGCGGCGCAGCUCGACGCAGCUGGAGUUUCCGCGCACACGUGGGUUACUCACCAGAAAACAGAAAGAGAAGAAGGUGAGCAAAGCACAGCACAGUCGGACGAUGACCUCAGGGACACCACUCGUGUGUUACAGAAUCAAAAUCUUUCCGGUUUGCUUUGCAAGAAAAAUGAUCAACUGCUAGAAAUGGCCGCAUCGCUGCCAGCAGGCAAUUCACCUGGUGUUUGUCACAGCACCUGCCACCAAGUGACCUCAAAACAAUAAAAAAACACUUUUCUGUAUGAAACACAUCCGUUCUUCCUGCUCCUUCUAUGAUUGAACUGACCACAGCUGAUUCAGUGCCCUUUAUUAAGAGAAGAUACUGAGACUUAUUCAGUAGCCAGUGACUUGCAGGUCACUAAAUCUUGCUGUGGAUUUACAGAGAGCUGUGGGUAUGGCUGUGCCAUCAGUUCUUUCUCACUUGAAGCAAAUGAGAUUAUUUCUGUAGGCUAAGCAUGUGCUUACCGCUGUGCUGCAUCAGCACGGCGCUCAGCAAUUUUGGGGAUUGCUCCUGAAACAUUUAAACAUCAGUGGUUUCAGGAUGCAAGUCAUAGCGCUGGUUUCGAUCUACAAAACCUUCUUUUGGCCUAAAGCCCAUCUCUGUAGGGAAAGGAGAGAUCUC
Tympanuchus pallidicinctus (lesser prairie-chicken) is the source of this 827-nucleotide long non-coding RNA. RefSeq lists it as uncharacterized. Lineage: Eukaryota; Metazoa; Chordata; Aves; Galliformes; Phasianidae. The transcript has 3 exons. The record is from RefSeq and is a predicted model, not a curated record.